AAUGAACGCUGGCGGCGUGCUUAACACAUGCAAGUCGAACGAGAAAGUGGACUUCGGUCCAUGAGUAGAGUGGCGCACGGGUGAGUAACACGUGGGUAAUCUACCCUUGAAUUUGGGAUAACAUUGCGAAAGUGAUGCUAAUACCGAAUAACAUCCAACAGGCUCUGGUUUGUUGGAUCAAAGACGGCCUCUCCUUGGAAGCUGUUGUUUAGGGAUGAGCCUGCGUACCAUUAGCUAGUUGGCAGGGUAAUGGCCUACCAAGGCUACGACGGAUAGGGGGCCUGAGAGGGUGGCCCCCCA
RNAcentral lists this ribosomal RNA (300 nucleotides) under uncultured Pseudomonadota bacterium. RNAcentral describes it as "bacterial SSU rRNA". It matches the Rfam family "Bacterial small subunit ribosomal RNA", at positions 29 to 310 of the family's 1533-position model. The record is from RNAcentral. Lineage: Bacteria; Pseudomonadati; Pseudomonadota.